Molecule: unclassified non-coding RNA, 588 nt
Filed under: Hevea brasiliensis (rubber tree)
Lineage: Eukaryota; Viridiplantae; Streptophyta; Magnoliopsida; Malpighiales; Euphorbiaceae
Source: RNAcentral
AAAAAAAAUUAGAGCAGGGAGGGCUGGGCUUGGGCGGUGGGAGAGGGAAGGGAAAAAGCACCUAAAAGAAUGAGAGUCUGGGCUACCAGCAGGAUAGCCAUACUAGAACUACAACUACUGCGUCUACUAUUACUGCUGCUGCCAGAGUCACUGCCUGUUAUAGUCUUUCCACUGCUUCUGCUAUCAGGUUCCACAUUCAGUCACUUUCACACCAACCAACAUCAUGGGCAACUGCGGCACUAGAGAGGAAUCUGCUGUUGUCUCAAAUGCUCAAGUUCAACAGCAGCUCCACCAUAUGUUAUCAUCAUCUUCUGUGGGUGUUAGAAAUGUCCCCUCUGGGAAGAAGCACAGUCGGUCUGUAUCAGAUCUGAGUGAUCCUUCUUCUACCCCGCGAAACUUUGAGGAUUCCAGGAAGAAUGCUCUUCUUUAUACCCAUGUUAUUGACUUCACUUUAUAUGAACUCGAGACUAUAACUAAAAGCUUCCGCUCUGAUUACAUUCUGGGUGAAGGUGGAUUUGGGACUGUGUAUAAAGGCUACAUUGAUGAGAAUGUCAGGGUUGCCCUGAAGGCCCUCCUUGUUGAGAACCU